Dermacentor andersoni is the source of this 339-nucleotide long non-coding RNA. RefSeq lists it as uncharacterized. Lineage: Eukaryota; Metazoa; Arthropoda; Arachnida; Ixodida; Ixodidae. The record is from RefSeq and is a predicted model, not a curated record.
AGAUGCAGAAGAAGCAAGCUGCUCCAAGGGCUCUGCACACAUUGUGGGACACGGUCUGCGCGCUCUACGUUCCAAUUUCGGGGAACGUCGAUGUGCAGGAAAGUCGACCCGUGUUGCUUGCUGCUUGACAAAGAGACCUGGACACCUUACCCAAGUAAUUUGAGCCGUCCUGACAGUGCGACAAAGAGGCAGCGACAUCAGAAGCAGCAGCGGCCCAGGGACCAUGGCCGCCGGCAGGGAGGACAUGUACCCCAUGUCGCCUUCGGGCCCUAGCCCCUACGAUACCCUCACUCCCAGUGCAUACGAGAGGGACGUCGAGUCCAUCACCCCAGAGGACAC